Molecule: long non-coding RNA, 7217 nt
Organism: Nymphaea colorata (pocket water lily)
Lineage: Eukaryota; Viridiplantae; Streptophyta; Magnoliopsida; Nymphaeales; Nymphaeaceae
Exons: 7
Source: RefSeq, a predicted model, not a curated record
UUAAAAGAUUCUUUUAAUAGGAUCAAUCAACAGAUGCUUGACAUCGACCAAAAAUUUCAGACGAUUAGGUCAAGACAUUCAUUAUUAAGGAGCUGUUGCAAGAGUUGCUCCAUAAGGUCUCCAAAGCAUCUGAGCAGUUACAACCAGGAAAGAUGCAACACCCGCUUUUUAGUUUCCUAUGAGAACGCUUAACAUGGACGAUGCAUCGAUGGUCGUUGUUGCAGAGACCAUGCUUGUAGCCAAGGGAGAGGAUGCGGUAGCUAAUCAGUCAUGCAACACAAUCCAGAUGGUAGAGAAGCUUCAUUUCCAGGUCAUUUUGUUGCCAACCGUUGGCAGCAUAAUAUUCCUGUUUCACCAAUAAUUCCAGAUGCUAUCGUGCAGCAUGUUGGAUGCAGAAAGGAACAAGUUCAUUCAGCAUAUGACUAUUCAAAAUUAUCUUUUCAUUGGCAACAACUGGGUUGCUAUGCUAGGUUGUCAAUGGAUGUGUUGAAUCUUGAAUGAUAGUUAUGGUUCUUUAUAUAUGGAAAAGGCGAACCAAGGAGGCGUUAAGCAUGGAGUGCCUAUCGGAAGGCAGGGAGAGAGGGGGUGUAGCGAGAAGGGUAGUGACGAGAAGAAAAUGUGGCCAAACAUACUAAGGCAGCCAGAGAAACCCUCCUGGUAUGGCAAACAUGGUCACUCGAUUGACAACAAAAAACCGUGGUUGAACCCUAGCUCUCAUCUUCUUAUUAAAGGUAAUAACGGCUUCACAUCAGGAGACGAAGUCCCUGUGCCACUUCACGAUGGCUCUAGGAUGGUGUCUCAGAUAAGCAAGAAACGAAAGUUCAUCGCAGAUGGAGUCUUCUAUGCGGAUUUGAACGAGGUGCUGACAGAGUAAGGACUAGCGGCAGAGAACCUCUUGGAGCCGAACCAUGGCAGCCAACAUCAUUGAGGGUGGGAUUUGGGCAGGUAGUGCCGAACCGUUCUAGGGUUGACACAUAGAAAGGUCGGCCAAUGAGCUUGAGGAAUAAAAGAUAUACUCGACUAAGAACAAAAUACAGAUGCCAAGCCCUCGCCCUCAUCCUCUUGUGGAAGGUAACAAUGACUUAGCUUCAGAAGAUGUUGCCUUGGGCACAUGUGGAGCUUUGCAACCCACUAAAAAUCAAAGUAUACAAGAAGCUCCGAAAGUGAUUGUCGACCCUUUGACGAUGCCCAUCCUUCCAAUGAAAGGAGCAAACAAGGAUUCUCAGAACAAAGAAGACAAUUAGUUGACUUGGCUUUGGGCCGCAGAACUACCGAUGAUCCAAAAAUUGGUCAAAGUAAGGGUCCAACAGCAGAUGAAGUUGGCCAUCUGAGGUAUGUCUAUUUUCCCUUCUCAUACUUGCUCAGGUUUUAUCACCUUCAACCAGACUGGGACUCCUGAGAUGGAAUGAGAGAGGGUUCUUGAGGAGGGAGCAUGACAGUUUAAGCAUGAUGGACUUGAAGGGGGCAGUUGUAGGCUUUCAAAGAGAGCUGCCUUAGAAAUCAAGACCAAGGAGGCAGUUGCGGAGAAAUUAGAAAUAGAGACGAGGCAUACUCUAGUGGGAACGUUGGACAUUUGGAUUGCAAUAAAACAGAGGGGUUUGCCUAUCAUCAAAUCCGUUUUGGGACUUUUGUCAGAAUUCCUUCAUGGCGACAGUGGUUGUUCGACCAUCGAGCAUACAUUCACUGAGAUAUGCUCGGAUGCUAUGCUCUAUGCACCACAUGAUUGCCUUGUAGGAUCAACACUUCCUUAUAAGUUCUGUCCAGACACCAUCUACAUGAUACUAAAGGAUCUCACUCCAAAUAAUCUCAGGAUCUGUUGAGAAUCAAAGAAAUUUAAAGGCCACAUAGAUAUGGAGUCGUGGUACCAAAAUGAAUUUUCUGUUGAGAAAAUAACUGAUGCCAUUGUAUAGAAAUGGAUAAAUGCAUCCUCUAAUGAGGAACCUCAUUUUUCUGCACCAAAUUUAUUUGUUCCCACUGAUUUAGCAAUCAAGGAAGUGCAACACUACAACAAGCCAAAUAUCCAUUUUUGCUAAGAAAAACUUCUUUUCCAAGAUUGUGGUACAAACCGGAUGCCUUGUUCUGCACUCUGAAGGCUUUUGUCAAGAUAGAUUUCAGCUGUCCUUGGUCACACCAUUCUUCUGAUGCAGAAGUUGUCGCUGACAUUUUCACACGUUUAUUGAUGGAUUACUUGAAUGAUUAUACUUAUGAUGCACAAGUUGCUAGUUUGAUGUACAAGAUAUCUCAAUCUGAUUUUUGGGUUCCAGUUGACUGUGUUUGGAUGCAACCAAAAAAUUAAGCUAUUUCUGGAUGCAAUAAUUGAAAAAGUUGCUCAAUUUGAAGUAAAACUAGAAAAAAAUUCUGUACUCAAGGAAAGCAUGGUAAAGGAGUAUGAAAACUUCAAGUUUAGACAGCCAUAUCAGCAGGCAAUGUACUAUUCCUCUCUAAUAUUGGAGGACAAUCCAUGGCCUGGGAGUGAGAAACUUGAAGCUCUUGUUCAUCUUGUAGCUGAAGACCUCUCAAAAUUUUCUUAUCUCUUGCUCUCCACAACAUUUUUUGAGUUUUCUGCUGAAGGUAACAUUGGACCUAGUGAAGCAGAGACCUUGGUUAUUGAUAUUGAGAAGUUAUCGUUUUAUAUUCCAGAACAGAUAUGCAAGACUCUGUUUGCUUCACAGUUCUUGACAAAUAGAAUUGUCAAACUUCAGACUGCAAGAAGCCAUUUCUACCCCGUUCAUUACCUUAACCAAGAUAAUGAGAAUUCUGCACUAUUAUUCUAUCUUCAGGUUGAUCCAGAUGUUUUGGUACUACAUACAAAGCCUCAGCUCCAUUGUUCUUGUUGCAAAGCAGCCAGCGUUCCAUCAGCCCUGUACUGUUGAGCAGCUUGGUUACAUUGCGAUACUAAUGCAGAAGAAUGACUCUGGAAUUCAAGGACUGCAGUUUAUUAUUCAGUCCACUGUGGAGGACCCUAGACUGCUUGAUGAGAGGCUGGAGGCAUUUUUGAAGAUAUUUGACGACAAACUUCAUGCACUAUCUAUUGAGGAAUUUGAGAUAUCUCAAGGAAAGGAAAAGGUUUAUGGCAAAAGGAUACCUUCCAAUAAAAAGCUACCAGAUGGGACCGACCUAAACUGGUACAAGAGUUGCUCAAAUCAUUUAACCAGACUAAAUAAUGGAGUUCCUAGACUGACUGCUUCAAAGUACUACCCACUUGUUGUUACCUCGUCUUCUAGAGCUGGCAAAUUUUGCAUCAAAUCCAAAUGCAGGCCUCAACAGCAGAUUUUCAACUAUAGAACAAGAAAGCUAAGGCACACAUAUUCCAAUAACCCAACAGGAGGUUUGCCAUUCUUGGGAGUCCUGUCUCAUGCCAACUUGGAGGAAGUUUUUGAGCAGGAAGGACCUAUCGACUGGGAGGAAGAUUGGUGGAGGCCAUGAGAGAGAUGAAAUCUACUUCUUGGGGAUAGAAGUAGCAAGAAGUAAAGAAGGUCUAGUCCUUUCCCAAAGAAAAUAUGUUCUUGAUUUGCUACAAGAGACAGGUAUGACUGGAACUAAACCGACAUCUAUUCCUAUGAAUUCUCGUAUUCACUUAUAUGAUGAUAAAACUGAACCUGUUGAUAGCAAAUCAUAUCGGUCUCUGAUUGGAAAGCUACUAUAUGUAACUAGGGCUGCACAACGAGUCGAGCCAACUCGAGCUCGACUCGAACUCGCCCGAUAAAGCUCGACUUGAGCUCGACUCAUUUAUAAAUGAGUCGAGUUGGAGCUCACCCUUCAACUCGAAAUGUUAAACAAGUCGAGUUCGAGUUGCAAGAACUCGACUCUUUUAAACUCGACUUGACUCACUAUCAACUGAAUCAGUGAAUCGUAUAAACCGGUUCCUGAAACCGGUUCACCGGUUUAGGGUGAAAUCUAUUCCCAUCUUGAUUUUCCGUCUUGAUAAAAACCUUUAGAAGUCUGCAAGGCAGGCUGCCUUUACCAGAGGGAAGCCAAAGCAACAACUGAGUGAGGUUAGCUACACUUUUUAUUUCAUAUAUUUCUGUCUUGAUAAAAACCUUUAGAAGUCUGCAAGGCAGGCUGCCUUUACCAGAGGGAAGCCAAAGCAACAACUGAGUGAGGUUAGCUACACUUUCUAUUUCAUAUAUGCAAUUUUUCUUGCUGUCAACCCAUGCUUACCAACCCUUUGUUAUCUUGAUUGAAGUCAUUUCAUCAUAUCAUUCUUGAGUUAUUUGCUAUAGUUUGAGAAAUUACCUUGGUAAAGUAGCUAAUAAUACUUAUCUCUUUUCUCCUUUUUGUUUGUUAAACACAUACUUGUGCAUCAAUAUGGAGAAUGGUUGGUUAUGUAGUAGUUGCUUGACUUAUUUUGACCAAAUAUUCAUGAAGCUAAUUUUUGGACGUCCCAUAGUCCCACAAGGGGAUUAUACUAGUGAGAACUUUGAUCACGGUGUUUCUUGUGGCAUCAAUGGCUUGAAAUAUAUGGAUUUAUGAAUGAAGUGCUAAAAAAAGUCUGUUUGUUUCAAGAAUGAGAAAUAAAAAAGAAGAUCAUCCCCAUUACAGUUGACAAUGCUUCUUCUAAUGAUAUUCUUGUAAGAACAUUGGAAGAAAUUUUAGAGAAAAGUGCUGUAAAUCUAUACCAAGGCCAUAAUUUUUUUCAUGUCCGUUGUUGUGCACAUAUAUUAAAUCUAAUGGUGCAAGAUGGUUUGUUUGCUAUUAAAGAUGAACUUGGUAAGAUUAGGGAGGCAGUCAAAUAUGUAAAAUGUUCUCCAUCAAGAAUUCACAACUUUCAAGUUAUAGUAGAUGAAUUUAAAAUUUGUGGUCAAAAGAAGUUGGUUCUAGAUGUUGCAACUCGAUGGAAUUCUACUUAUUUGAUGUUGAAGGUUGCACUUAUGUACAUACAUGUUUUUGAUAGAUACGUUAUGAAAGAUGCUGGUUUUACUUGGUUGUUGGAUGCAGAUGAAUGGGAGAGAGUACAAAAAAUAUGUACUUUUCUUGAAGCAUUUUAUAAUGUUUCUGUGCUUUUUUCACGGUCCAAGUAUCCUACAGCAAACCUAUUUUUCUUAGAAAUUUGGGGGGUUCAAGAAUUAUUACAAGAAAAAGUUGUAAAUGGUUGCAGCUUUAUGAAGAGAAUGGCAUCCAAAAUGAAAGAAAAAUUUGAUAAGUAUUGGAGUUUUUGCAAUAUGUUGAUGGCUAUUGCUUCUAUAUUAGAUCCAAGAAUAAAGUUUAGUUUAAAAGACUUUGUCUUUUCAAAGACUUUUAGUUAAAUAGAAGAAAAGGAAUAUCAGAUGACAUUAGUAAGAAAUACAAUGCAAGAGCUUUAUAACAGCUAUGUUGCAAAAAUUGAAGGUUUAAAUAAAGAUGUUGAAUGUGAUGCUACUACUUCUAUGAGAGGAAUUGACUCAUCAUGUAGGAACUCCAAUAGAUCAAGUGUAAGAAUUUUUAGGUUUUUAAUCAAAGCAGACAAUGUUCCUUUUCAAGCUCCAAAGUCUGAGCUUGAUAUGUAUUUAGAAGAUAGAUUGUUGAAAUAUGAUGCUACCACUUAUGAUUUGUUUGAUGUAUUGAUUUGGUGGAAAGAUAAAGAAUUGAAAUACCCCAUUUUAUCACAUAUGGCACGAGAUAUAUUAUGUAUUCCUAUUACCACAGUUGCCUUUGAAUAUGCUUUUAGUACUGGAGGUUGAGUUGUGGAUGAAUGUAGGAGUUCAUUGAGUCCAAAGACAGUAGAAGAAUUAAUUUGUGCAGGUGAUUGGAUAAAACAGUAUGGCGACCCUAUGAAUUUUGUACCGGUAUUGCGAAAGUUUUUUUGUAGGGUGUUGUUGAAGAUGAGAUAGCAUGACAUGAUUCAACAUCAUUUCAAACAUAUUAUGCACUAGCAACUAACAAAAUAUCAGGUAUUAUUCUAAGUUUAGUAGUUGUUUUGUUCUUAGAUGUUUGACUUUACCUUGAUGACAACAAUAUCAGCUGAAUUUCUUUGGAACACUGUCAAUAUUGAUUUCUUUUAUGCUAACAAUUUUAUUUUGAUAUGCAAAUACUAUAAGUUUCAAGUGGCAGAAUAUCAGUAUAUUGCACAAAAUAUCAGUAUAUUGCAGAAAAUUUUUGGUAUUAGGCAAUUAGGCUCAAUGGCACUAUGGGAUAACUGUUGAUCCUGAUGGACAUAAACGGGCUCUUAUAAUUGGAGGUGGCAUUGCUAAUUUCACUGAUGUUGCUAAGGGAGAAGGUUAGGCAGAUGUGCAAUGAUCAAAUAUCUAGUAGGAAUUGGUCUUCUUCUGAGAACUCUCAAAUCUAGACAUGGUUUGAAUCUGGUUUGAUAUGAAUUUGGCAGUGGGAUUCUCAUACUGAUAUCAUUGUGGGAAAUUCAGGCGUAAGGGUGUAGUUGUGCUGGCCAAGAACAAGAAGAGAAACUUUAUUUCAGUUUUUCAUGUUCCAUAUAGGAACAUCAAGCUGACUCAAGUACUUAAAGAUUCACUUGGACUGGAUUCAAAGGCUCUCAUGGUCAUUCAUAUAAAGCCCAUAGGAAGAUGACAUCAAUGAGACCAUAUGUUCUAUGAAUUUUGGGCAGAGGGCAAGGAGCAUAGAUUGCCACAAGGAAUACCCUGUGGAGUUAAAAAAUUUGAGGCAAAUGAAGAUUGCAGAACUUGAUCAGGAGAUGAGAAGUGCAGAGAAAGAUUGCCAAGUGACAAGAGACCAUAUCCAAAGCAUUGAAAGCAAACUGGAAGAAAAGAAAAGGAUAUUGUCACUGUCAAAUGACAGAGGCAGGUUGCUGAAAAUGAAGCCAAAGGAGCAAAAGCUAACAGAUCAGGAAGAAAAUAUGCCAGUGACGCAGAUUUUCAGCUAUCAGUAUCUCGCAUUCUUUCCAAUCAAAUUCUAUUAUCAAGGCAAGCCCAAGUCAUGGACUAUCACCAAGGACUAAUGCCAAGAAGCUUCAUAUUGAAGAAUUGAGCUCUAUGCACCCUGAUGCUCCAGUUCAUGACAGCAGUGGCUCAAAGUUUUCAAAGAUGUGUAAAGCAUCUUUGUAAUCUUGUUGUUUGGCCUAUCAAAAUCCAUGUCAAAGCCUCCAAUAGUGAAUGGAGAGUUUUACUUUGCCAACCAUUGUCUGAAGCUGUUUGGAGUCUUGGCUAUGUCAUGUCAAAGCCUCCUCUAUUUCCAUAUGAAUGGUACAACCUACUUGCACUUAUAUUAUUAACUCUUAGUUGCUGUAUGCAUCUCUCAAGUGAAUGCAUUUACAUAAAUUACAUUGU